Molecule: long non-coding RNA, 967 nt
Filed under: Monodelphis domestica (gray short-tailed opossum)
Lineage: Eukaryota; Metazoa; Chordata; Mammalia; Didelphimorphia; Didelphidae
Description: lncRNA (ENSMODG00000043929.1)
Source: RNAcentral
UGGGCUAAACCAGGUUGAGGGGAACUGAUAGACCUCAAACUUUUCUGUUAUUUAGGGGGAUGUCUACUCCAAGCAUGUGAAGAAUUCACUGAAAGAAUGGGAAGAUUAGAACAAUUUGUUCCAGUGGCCAUGAAGGCAGCUGAAGCAAGAAAUGUGGAAUGCCUAGAGAUUAGUUAGACAUUGAAAAUGCCAAGGUUAUCAAUUGUAUCCCAAACCAUCACCAGUAUCUUGACUUUUACCGUGCCAGAGGACUUCAAUGACUCAAAAAGAGAGUGUGACUGACAACUUUCUGCAAUUUUACCUUACUUAAAUCCAAUUCACAAGCAAGUCAAAACAUCACUCUUUGAUAUCAUUAAUCCUCUUUGAAAAUGAAAGAUGAACAACAACAACUUUACAGUAUGGAGCUUCUCAUCCUUACUUCCCCCUGUAGAUAUAACUCCCUUUAACAGACUGUCCCAUUAGGAGGGAAAUACAAUGGAUAUCCCAUGACUUUCUUUGCUCUUUAUGAAAGUUCACUCUAAUUUUUCUGUUACCUGCUGAUUACAUAUUAGCAAUGAGGCCUCAUGCUAUAGCAACCUACUGACAAUGCUAUCUACAUGAGAUUUUUUCCUGAUACAAAAUGCACCAGAUUUCUCCUCAACAUCAUUACCAAACCGUAUCGAAUUCCCUGGGGAUAUGUCUGCAGAUAUUACAUCGACCUGGAAUGGAAAAUGCAGGAGUAUUCUUAACUCUGAGUUCCCUUAGCAGCUUGUGCUCUUAGUGAGUUUUUUGGUUUUUUUUUCCCCUAUGAUCCAAAUGGUGUGGAUGGUGCUAUGUGACUAUGGAUGAAUCACCUAACUUCCCUUUUUCCCAGGCUAAUCUCUGAAACUAUAAAUUACAGAUGAAUGUCUGACCUGUACCAUUGGUUGGAAUGUCCACUCUAUCAAUUCUGAAUAAAUAAAUAAAAUCACAGGUUGGGAUUUUAAAA